Molecule: RNase P RNA, 335 nt
Filed under: Variovorax sp. Sphag1AA
Lineage: Bacteria; Pseudomonadati; Pseudomonadota; Betaproteobacteria; Burkholderiales; Comamonadaceae
Description: Bacterial RNase P class A
Rfam family: Bacterial RNase P class A
About the family: Ribonuclease P (RNase P) is a ubiquitous endoribonuclease, found in archaea, bacteria and eukarya as well as chloroplasts and mitochondria. Its best characterised activity is the generation of mature 5'-ends of tRNAs by cleaving the 5'-leader elements of precursor-tRNAs. Cellular RNase Ps are ribonucleoproteins.
Source: Rfam by way of RNAcentral
GAAGCACGCCGGACCGCCGCUGGUGCAAGUCUCGAAAGAGCGCACUGGAGGAACGUCCGGACUGCACAGGACAGCGCAGGAGCUAACGGCUCUCCACCGCGAGGUGAGGAUCAGAGCAACAGAGACGAGUCGGCCGGGGGCAACUCCGGUCGGGUGAAACGGGCAAUCUCUGCGCGCAGCAACACCAAGUAGGCCAGCGUCGAUGUGGUUCCGCAGAGCUGGCGGGUAGGUGGCAUCGAGCCGUUUGGCGACAAACGGCCCAGAGUAAUGGCGGUCACGCUGGGGUUCGAGAGGACUUCAGUGCACAGAAUCCGGCUUACAGGCGUGCUUCACAC